UGAGGCAAAAGAAUUGAAGCACGCUGC
RNAcentral lists this non-coding RNA (27 nucleotides) under Rattus norvegicus (Norway rat). The record is from RNAcentral. Lineage: Eukaryota; Metazoa; Chordata; Mammalia; Rodentia; Muridae.